RNAcentral lists this ribosomal RNA (253 nucleotides) under uncultured bacterium. RNAcentral describes it as "partial 16S ribosomal RNA". It matches the Rfam family "Bacterial small subunit ribosomal RNA", at positions 524 to 776 of the family's 1533-position model. The record is from RNAcentral.
UACGUAGGGUGCGAGCGUUGUCCGGAAUUAUUGGGCGUAAAGGGCUCGUAGGCGGUUUGUCGCGUCGGGAGUGAAAACACUGGGCUUAACCCAGUGCUUGCUUUCGAUACGGGCAGACUAGAGGUAUGCAGGGGAGAACGGAAUUCCUGGUGUAGCGGUGAAAUGCGCAGAUAUCAGGAGGAACACCGGUGGCGAAGGCGGCUACCUGGACAGAAACUGACGCUGAGGCGCGAAAGCUAGGGGAGCAAACAGG